AAUGAACGCUGGCGGCGCGCCUAAUACAUGCAAGUCGAGCGAGAAGACGUAGCAAUACGUUUGUAAAGCGGCGAACGGGUGAGGAAUACAUGGGUAACCUACCCUAGAGUGGGGAAUAACUAGCCGAAAGGUUAGCUAAUACCGCGUACGCUCCUUGGACUUCGGUUCAGGGAGGAAAGCGAUGCCGAGGGUAUCGCGCUCUUGGAUGGGCUCAUGUCCUAUCAGCUUGUUGGGAGGUAACGGCUCACCAAGGCUUCGACGGGUAGCUGGUCUGAGAGGACGAUCAGCCACACUGGCACUGCGACACGGGCCAGACUCCUACGGGAGGCAGCAGUAAGGAAUAUUGCGCAAUAGGCGAAAGCCUGACGCAGCGACGCCGCGUGGGGGAUGAA
RNAcentral lists this ribosomal RNA (392 nucleotides) under uncultured bacterium. RNAcentral's name for it is "bacterial SSU rRNA". It matches the Rfam family "Bacterial small subunit ribosomal RNA", at positions 29 to 412 of the family's 1533-position model. The record is from RNAcentral.